UUUUCCGGAGGAGGGACACAGAAAACAAAUUUUUUUCCUCUGCAAAAACUUUUCCAGGGCGGCCGGGAAGACGUCGCUUCCUGUCUAGAGCUUGCGGGUCGUGUUGUCCUGCCCAGAGAACGCGGGGUCGGGGCUCUGAGGGUCUCGGCCUCUCCUGGGGGGCCCUUCCCCCGCCUUGUCCCUUGAAAAUUCAGCCCAGCCUCCUGGCAGGGGUCCUGAGGGUCCCCAGGGGCAGUUGUUCUAACGGGUGUCUCCUCCGUCCCAGGGCAUCCUGUGGGACAGGUGAGAGACGGACCGCUGGGAUAAGAGCAGGACGGAGUCCCACCGGAUGCUGAUCGUGAGCAUUGUUAUCAGUGUUGUCGUGCUGGUCCUUGCUGGGACGGGCACAGCUGGAUACUUCCACAUCUGGACAGCUUGGAGAGAGAAGCCUUGCGGUGCUCCGGUGAGUGUCAGUGUGAUAGACCUGACCCAGAGCUGGCUACAUCUAGAGCCCAUCAUGCCCAGAGCCACCCGCACCCCAGUCCUGGGUGAGGGGCUGCACUGUGCCCUGGGAGGUGGCAACAUAGAAGAAGAAAGGAAGCCUUGCAGUGCUCCGGUAAGCGGAGCCUGCGAUGACUGUGAAAGCUUGGCUGGACCUGCAUGUAAAAUCUAAAUGACCAAAUAAAAAUAACAGUGCAUCUUGCACAAGAAUGCAAGAUCAUGGCUUGGACCAUGCAAAAGAAAGCAAUCCCAAUUAAUUUAAUCUUCUGUGCUAGUUCGAAAUGUACCCAGAGUUUUAUUAUGCCAAAUCAUCAUAGCGUUUGUAAUCACUUGAAAUGUUAAUAGCUAGGAAAGAAACCCUCCUGUGAAAAAGAGAGUGGCUGGGGAAAAACUGGGUUUUGGUGACAAGACUGUCACAAGAAGAUCAGUCUCCGUUAAUGGUUGCAACCCAUCAGGCAUAGAAGUGGAGCUUGCGGCACCCAGGAAUACCAGACCCCUGCCAUAAGAUAAUAACAGUCAUAAUGAAGGCCAGGGCAAGAGUGGAUGAGGAUGGAGAAGCGCUAUCAAGAAGAACAAAUAGUUGCUCCGCUGGUGGUUGCCAUCCACUAGGCAUUGAGUUAGAUAGACCUCAACCCUCUACCUCACCUGAACCAAAAAAUAAAAUUGAUGGUUCCUCAAAAAGGAAAAUUGUUGGUAGAGAGCGGACACACUCAUCACAUGUAUAACAAAGCAAUGAGAGGGGCCCAGACUGCCUGAGCUGGUGUAACCAAUGCCAGGAGCUUGGGGAAUAAACUGGAGGAACUGGUCCUCCUGCUAAACAAGAAUGACUAUGAUCUCAUAGGGAUAAUGGAGACCUGGUGGGACUCCACCUAUGACUGGGCCACAGGUAUAGACGGCUAUACCUUGUACAGGAGAGACUGUGUAGACAAAAGGGGCAGGGGUGUAGCAUGCUAUGUCAAGGAAAGCUACACAUCCCUGCAAGCUGACAUUGGCGACCAAGGUAGACGACUAGAGACUCUGGGUUAAAAUUUGUGGUGAACAAGGCACAGGAGACAUAGUGGUGGGAGUCUACUACAGACCUCCUACCCAGGAUCAAGAGCUCGACCAGGAAUUCGCCAAGGAACUGGCUGAGGCUGCACGCUCCCGGUGCAUGGUUGUCAUGGGAGACCAACUACCCUGACAUCUUGUGGGAAGAGCACUUGGCCAAAUCUGAACGGUCGCAAAGCUUCCUUGUGUGUGGAUGAACUCUAUCUGACUCAAGAAGUCUGUGGACCGACAAGAGGCAAAGUGCUGCUCGACCUGGUUCUAGCAACAGGGGAUGACUUAAUCAGUGACCUAACAAUCCAAGGGAAGCUGGGAGACAGUGACCAUGAGCUGAUCACCUUCACCAUCUGCCGUAAAGCUGGCAAGUCAGUCAGCAAUGCAGAAGUCCUUGACAUCAGGAAAGCUUACUUUGACAAGCUCAGGAGGCUUGUUGGAAAGGCCCUAAGGGACCACAAUCCAAAGGCGAUGGGAGUUCAGGACGAGUGGUUGCUCCUCAAGGGAGCGAUCCUGGAAGCACAAGCAAUGUCUAUUCCGUCUCAGAGGAAAGGCAGCAAAAGGGCACAGCAGCCCCCUUGGCUCUGCAGAGAACUAGUGGACCUCCUGUGUCUAAAAAGAAAGACCUACAAAGGAUGGAGGAUGGGAUCCACCUCCAAGGAGGAAUACUCUGCACUGGUCUGGACCUGUAAGGAGUGAACCAGGAAAUUCAAGGCUGCAACUGACCUCCAACAGGCUUCACAUAUCAAAGACAAUAAAAAGUCCUGUUUUAGAUACAUGGGGAGCCAGAGGAAAAGCAAGGGCAACAUUGAACCCCUGCUAAACCAUACGGGACAGCUGACAACUGACGCCCAGGAAAAAGCCAACCUGCUUAAUGGGUAUUUUGCAUCAGAUUUUCACCAGCCCCAGGGGACGGCCCUGUUCAAUACGGUACGGGACGGCCAGGGUGAGGGAGAAUUGUUACCCUUCAUCAAUGUUGACCAUGUGAAGGAACACCUUGAGAGGCUGGACACCUUCAAGUCAGCUGACCCAGGCAGUUUACACCCCAGAGUACUGAAGGAGCUGGUGAGCAACAUAGCUCAGCCCCUGGCACGGAUCUUUGAGAACUCGUGGCGUUCAGGUAAAGUGCUCGACGAUUGGAAGAAGGCCAGUGUGGUGCCUAUCUUCAAGAAAGGGAGGAGAGUAGAUCAAGAACUACAGGCCCAUCAGCCUGACCUUUAUCCCAGGGAAGAUCCUGGAAAAAAUUAUCAAAGAGGCCAUUCUUGAUAACUGGCUGAUGGCAACAUCCUGAGGGGUAGCCACACGGGUUUGUUGUGGGUAAGUCUUGCCUGACCAAUCUCAUCUCCUUCUAUGACUAGGUGACCUAUCACCUGGACAAGGGAGAAGAGAUUGACGUUAUAUAUCUUGUUUUUAAAAAAGCCUUCUAUCUGGUAUCCCAUGAUCAUCUCAUAGAAAAACUGGCCAACUGCAGCAUCGGCUACAUCACAGUCCAAUGACUGGGGAAUUGGCUCCAAAGUCGGACCAAGAGAGUGGUAGUUGACUGAAGUCAAUCGUUGUGGUGCACCGUGACCAGUGGGGUCCCUCAAGGCUCCGUCUUUGGGCCUGUAAUCUUUAACAUCUUUAUUAAUGAUGUGGAUAUUGGUAUCAGAAGCGGACUGGCCAAGUUCACCGAUGACACCAAACUUUGGGGUAAAGCGUCUGCACCCGAGGACAGGAGGGUGAUCCAGGCUGACCUGGACAGGCUCAGAAAAUGGGCAGACAAAAACCUGAAGGCGUUCAACACCGAAAAAUGCAAAGUACUCCACCUUGGGAAGAAAAACCCGUAGCAUGCUUAUAGGCUUGGCAGUGCUAUGCUUGCUAGCAUCACGGCCAAAAGGGACUUGCGGGUCAUGAUUGACCACAAGAUGAAUAUGAGCCACCAAUGUGAUGUUACAGCUAGUAAAGCAAGCAAAACUCUGGCUUGCAUGCAUAGAUGCUUCUCAAGCAAAUGCCAGGAUGUCAUCCUCCCGCUGUACUCAGCCUUGGUGAGGCCGCAGCUGGAGUACUGCAUCCAAGUCUGGGCUCCACAGUUAAAAAAGGGCAUGGAGAAGCUUGAGAGAGUGCAGAGGAGAGCCAUGCACAUGAUCAGAAGGCAGGAGAACAGGCUCUAUGAUGAGAGGCUGAGAGCCAUGGGACUCUUUAGUCUGGAAAAACACAGGCUCAGGGGGGACCUGGUGGCUGCCUAUAAGUAUAUAAGUGGUGUGCACCAGGAUCUGGGGGAACACCUGUUCACCAGAGCGCCCCAAGGGAUGACAAGGUCCAAUGGUCACAAACUCCUCCAUGACCGUUUCAGGCUGGACAUAAGAAAGAACUUCUUUACUGUCCGAGUUCCCAAGGUCUGGAACAGACUGCCGCCGGAGGUGGUGCAAGCACCUGCUUUGGACUCCUUUAGAAGAGGCAUUUGGACAUUUAUCUUGCUGGGAUCCUUUGACCCCAGCUGACUUCCUGCCCUGGGGCGGGGGCUGGAUUCGAUGAUCUUCCGAGGUCCCUUCCAGCCUUAAUGUCUGUGCAAUCUAUGAAACUAGAGAAAGCAGAAAACUACAUAUAUGAGACCUGGAAGCUAACUCCUCUGCUCCAGCCCGUUGUUUUGAGGCAAAUUUGCACGCUUGCAGAGCAGCCUCAUCACAACAGAACCUCCUUACCCAGGAGAAUCUUUCUACCACCAAUCCUCAUGUGCAAUAUGGAACAUCUUAACAAGAAAGAAGCAAAAUUCAACAUCCUGCUUCCCAUCAGAUACCUCUGAGAUAAAUAGAGGGCUGCAACUUCUAUCCAAGCCUAAUUUGCAUGAAAUUAACUUUUCUACCCAGGAGAACUUACACCACUCUCCAGCUCUUCUGUGCAAUAUGAAGUUUAAUUUCUACCUAGGAUGAAUUUUACAAUCUUUGCAUUCUCCUUUGCCCGAGGAAGGGUACAUGAGCCUGACAGCUUGCAGAUAAAUAAUUUUUUUUGCAACUAUCUAGUUGGUCUAAUACAAGAUAUCGCCUCCACCACACUGACUCCAGAGGACUAAAUAUGCAUUCCAAAGCAGAACCAGUAAGAGGUGAAAGACUGAAAUGCACUAAAUACCCUUGCUCCUGCCUUUUGUUUCAAGACAAAUUUGCAGGUUCCCAGAGCACAGAGAUGCCUCAACACAAGAGAAAUUCUUUAUCCAGGAGAGCCUUCCAUCUACCCAUCUUACUGUGAAAUAUGAAACAUCAUAACCAGAGGGAAACAUAAUUCAACAUCCUGCUUGCCAUUAGACAACUCCAAGGUAAAUAGACUGCUCUUUUUUUGGAGCCUAAUUUGCACAAAAUGAACUUUUCCAACCAGGAGAUCUCACACCACCUUUGGGUCUCCUGUGACACAUGAAUUUUCAUUUCCACCUAAGAGAAAUUCUGCAAUUUUUGCAUUCUCCUAGGCCUGAAGAAGGGUGUGUGUGCCCAAAAGCUUCCAAAUAAGGACUUUGUUUUUGCAACUAUCCAGCUGGUCUAAUCUCUACCAAUUGUUCUGAUUCCUAAAUGCAGAACGUGAGGAACAUGAGCAUGUUAUACAUGACUAUAAACAAUUCUGAGUUAACACAUCCCACCUUAAUUAAGGCAUUCUCAAACAGCCAUUCAGUGUCUGCCUGAGGUUUUGCAAAUGUCUCCAUCAUGCAGACUAUUGUCAAUGUAAAUCCUACCCCAUUGUUAAAACAGCUACCCAAUGAUCAAUGCCCCAAGGUAUCCCGAUCAGUCAAUCAAAACCCACCACAUUUGAUUGACUUCUAACCUCGGGGCCGAUCACAAACUUGCAAAAACAAAUUUCACACCUAGACAAUCCAAAACAGAAUCCGCACAGUUGGCAAUUAUAAUGUGAUGGUCCCACCCUCAGCUUUGUCUGGACUUUAAUCGAGCAGCUAUCAAGGGGAAAUGCAUUGAAGUGACACAAUUAAACAGUAUAAGAGCAAAACAGAAUUCCAGAAAGGUGUGCACUCCAGGAGAAACAGAGAAAUCACUACAACAUUGCACCCAGCUCUUCACAGCAAAGGACCCCACUCAGUGAAAGCUGUAAAGAAACUGCUUCCUGCCCUGUCUUCGUGAGAAAACACUCCUUCAGCUAAACAUGUACUCAGACUUUGGUGAUAGAUCGUUUAUUGAAUAUUGAAAAGGAGUCUUAAAAGUUUUAUAGGGUGUUGCGGUAUUAUUCUUGAAGUUCUUCUGGUCUGAAUCAAAUAAGGUGUUACGUCAAUACUUAAUUGCACUACAUUUAAAUUCUGCCUUUAACUGCAACACUUGCACCUUGUCCUCAGGGUCCUGUAGAAGAAGAGACGGAACAGCACACAGCAGUGUGCUGCAGCUCCUUUCCAUCUUCCAAGCACCUUUGUUUUUGCUUGGAAUUUGCCAGAGCAAGGCUGUGGGACAGCAAGUAGCUUGCAUGUGUAAUUAAAACCACUUGGCUGCUGCCUGCCUGGGCAAUGUCUGUUGCGGGGGGUUGGGGAU
Long non-coding RNA from Alligator mississippiensis (American alligator), 6014 nucleotides. RefSeq lists it as uncharacterized. The record is from RefSeq and is a predicted model, not a curated record. The transcript is spliced from 6 exons. NCBI's taxonomy places the organism in Eukaryota, Metazoa, Chordata, Crocodylia, Alligatoridae.